Molecule: ribosomal RNA, 571 nt
Filed under: Staphylococcus aureus
Lineage: Bacteria; Bacillati; Bacillota; Bacilli; Caryophanales; Staphylococcaceae
Description: partial 23S ribosomal RNA
Rfam family: Bacterial large subunit ribosomal RNA
Source: RNAcentral
AUUAGACGAAUCAUCUGGAAAGAUGAAUCAAAGAAGGUAAUAAUCCUGUAGUCGAAAAUGUUGUCUCUCUUGAGUGGAUCCUGAGUACGACGGAGCACGUGAAAUUCCGUCGGAAUCUGGGAGGACCAUCUCCUAAGGCUAAAUACUCUCUAGUGACCGAUAGUGAACCAGUACCGUGAGGGAAAGGUGAAAAGCACCCCGGAAGGGGAGUGAAAUAGAACCUGAAACCGUGUGCUUACAAGUAGUCAGAGCCCGUUAAUGGGUGAUGGCGUGCCUUUUGUAGAAUGAACCGGCGAGUUACGAUUUGAUGCAAGGUUAAGCAGUAAAUGUGGAGCCGUAGCGAAAGCGAGUCUGAAUAGGGCGUUUAGUAUUUGGUCGUAGACCCGAAACCAGGUGAUCUACCCUUGGUCAGGUUGAAGUUCAGGUAACACUGAAUGGAGGACCGAACCGACUUACGUUGAAAAGUGAGCGGAUGAACUGAGGGUAGCGGAGAAAUUCCAAUCGAACCUGGAGAUAGCUGGUUCUCUCCGAAAUAGCUUUAGGGCUAGCCUCAAGUGAUGAUUAUUGGAGG